CACACCCCCAGCGCCUAUAAAUAGCAGCCCCCGCAGCAAAGAGAGACACCAAACCAAACCACCAGACCUUCUCCAAGACAUCAGAUACAAGAAGCUAGCACUAGCUCAGUAGAAUCUCCCCAGGGAAGCUUUACCUCCUCCAAAGGAUGUCUUCUGGGUCAUCGUCUCGGAGCACCUCGCCGAGCUCCGACUCGGAGUGGAGCAAGAAGGAGAACAAGAUGUUCGAGGAGGCGCUCGCCUACUACGGCGAGGGCGCCCCCAACCUCUGGGACAAGGUGGCCAGCGCCAUGGGGGGCACCAAGUCCGCCGAGGAGGUGCGCCGCCACUUUCAGAUCCUCAUCGAUGACGUCAACAACAUAGAGUACGGCCGCAUCCCCUUCCCCAAGUACAAGACCCAAGGAUUCUGGACCUGAAAGGAUGAAGCAGUGUAAGCUCCAGUGGACAGUGGACAGUGGACAGUGAACAAAGGUGUACAAACUAGAUCUCUAAGAAGUAAGAAUGGAAUAUUGUUCUAGGAGUAAGCAAGGGAAUCCAGCAUUGGUUAGAAUAACAGGAAGGAAAUGAGUAUUGUCUAUUGUGUGUACAAAGUAUUGUUAGGUCAUGUCCAAGGUUAAGUCUGUCUCUAUGUCGUUGUAGAUUCUCGUCUACAUUCAUGAUCUGUGUGUUGUUAUCUGUUCAAAUCAAGUCAUCAAGUAAGCUGUCAUGUAAACUCAUGUAUUAGUGUUAUUUGUAAAAAGUUGUACCUGUCGC
RNAcentral lists this ribosomal RNA (750 nucleotides) under Triticum aestivum (bread wheat). RNAcentral's name for it is "partial small subunit ribosomal RNA". Lineage: Eukaryota; Viridiplantae; Streptophyta; Magnoliopsida; Poales; Poaceae. The record is from RNAcentral.